AGCGCAGGUGGUUUCUUAAGUCUGAUGUAAAAGGCAGUGGCUCAACCAUUGUGUGCAUUGGAAACUGGGAGACUUGAGUGCAGGAGAGGAGAGUGGAAUUCCAUGUGUAGCGGUGAAAUGCGUAGAUAUAUGGAGGAACACCGGAGGCGAAAGCGGCUCUCUGGCCUGUAACUGACACUGAGGCUCGAAAGCGUGGGGAGCAAACGA
RNAcentral lists this ribosomal RNA (207 nucleotides) under uncultured bacterium. RNAcentral describes it as "partial 16S ribosomal RNA". It matches the Rfam family "Bacterial small subunit ribosomal RNA", at positions 568 to 775 of the family's 1533-position model. The record is from RNAcentral.